GGGCUCCCUUGCAACCAGGCAAGGGGGUGCCCACAGAUCCUGGGGUCACGCAAGAUGGAGUCCCCCACCCGCUUCAUCUCCCCACCUGUCCCACCUGUCCCCACCUCCCUCGACAAGUUUUUUUUAAGGUUUAUUUAUUUUUCUCCCCUUCCCCCAGUUGUCUGUUCUCUGUGUCUAUUUGCUGUGUGUUCUUCUUUGUCUGCUUCUGUUGUUGUCAGCAGCACGGGAAUCUGUGUUUCUUUUUGUUGCAUCAUCUUCUGUCAGUUCUCCGUGGGUGCGGUGCCAUUCUUGGGCCGACUGCACUUUCACGCUGGGCGGCUCUCCUUAUCGGGUGCACUCCUUGCGCGGGGGACACCCCUGUGUGGCAGGGCACUCCUUGCGCGCAUCAGCACUGUGCGUGGGCCAGCUGCACACGGGUCAAGGAGGCCCGGGGUUUGAACCGCGGACCUCCCGUGUGGUAGACGGACGCCCUAACCGCUGGGCCAAGUCCGCUUCCUCAACAUGUUCUUAGCAGCAUUUCCAUCUGGACCCCUCCCCACCCCUGCAGCCUCCGCCGCAGUCCAGCCUCAAGCCCUCCCCGCAGACGCGUCUUCCCUGCGUCCCCACCCCCGCCCCUUCCCGGGCUCCCAGAGGCACCUGUACCGUGAAAGCCCACCCAUUUCCAGGGAGGCCCCCUUGUGGCCCGAGCCCCCUCCGCAGCCCCCUGGACACGCCUUCCUCCACGCCCCUGCGGGGUUCAGCGCUCCACAUGCGUUUCCUCUCUCACUGCUGCGCCUCACGCAUUCUGAAAGCUGGGUGUCCCGGGCUUGGUGUUUGGCUGGAGCCGGGCACUGCCCUGCCUGGCGGUCACUUAAGGGCUCGGGAUAUGGAGACGCUUUGGGGAGGCCUGCAGAGGAGGAGGAGAGGACAGGAGGCCGGAGCCGAGGUGGAAGGUUCUGGAACCUCCACGUUGGUGCCGGCUGGCUGCUGAACCUGCAGCAUCUGACCUUAGGAGCCCAGAUCGGAGAGGGGGAGUUUGGAGGUGAGUGGGGGGGCAUCUGGGUGAGGGGGGGCUCAGGAAAGUGGGGGUGGGGGUGUCGGGGCUUAGGAGCACACAGAGCCCAAUCCAAGCCCAGACUCAGGCCCCAGCUCGCUUGCAGCCGAGCAGAGGGGACGCCUCCCUGGGCCUCGGUUUCCCCCCUGUAAAAAGCGUGUGACGGCCACGGUCACAGGAAGUCACGACUCGCGCGCAGGGCCCGGCUCAAGUGGGCACCCAUAAAUGUCACUCCCUCCUUCACUUGGUGCCCCAGCCCAGCUGGUCCCUCUGCCUGCAAGGCCGGGCCCUGGAAUGAUGAUUCUGGAAGGUUCCGGGGCCGUCUCCCGCCAGGGCCCGCGGGUAAACGUUUUUGGCUUCGCGUGCCUGACGGCCGCUCACGAUGUCUUGUGUCCCGGGAGCGACCAGAGAUGAGGGGCACGCAAGGGCGCGGCUGUGCACCAAUAAAACGUUAUUUAGGGAUGCCGAAACGGGAGUUUAUUACCGUUUUCACGAGUCGGCCAAUAGUCUGCUGCUUUCUAUUUCUUUUUUUCCUCGCUGUUAAAAAAAUGGAGACGCCGUUCUCAGCUCCCAGAUUGUCCAGAAACAGGCGACAGGUGGGACCUGGGUGGGGGGGGGGGGCUGGAGUUCGCAGACCCUCGUCCAUGGCUUAGAGACCCAGAGUUCCUGGGAAUGGAUGUAGCCC
Dasypus novemcinctus (nine-banded armadillo) is the source of this 1718-nucleotide long non-coding RNA. The record is from Ensembl. Lineage: Eukaryota; Metazoa; Chordata; Mammalia; Cingulata; Dasypodidae.